UUCUUAAUUGUAAUCAUAUCAUUGCUUUAAAAUGUUAAUUCGAAGCUUCUUUCAUUGGAGCGAUACUAUAUAGGUCCCUCGUUAUUACUAUCUAUUUUUCCUUUUCGUUAUCAUUUUGGUUGGGUGUCAAUAUUCUCUUUGAUUACGAGACAUGCUAGUUGCUGAUAAUAUAGAUAGAAUCAGGGCCGUCCCUGCCAUAAGGCCAGUGAGACAAG
RNAcentral lists this long non-coding RNA (215 nucleotides) under Brassica rapa (field mustard). Its description in RNAcentral is "long non-coding RNA (BRAP_LNC000546)". The record is from RNAcentral. Lineage: Eukaryota; Viridiplantae; Streptophyta; Magnoliopsida; Brassicales; Brassicaceae.